AGGGGAGCUGUCCUUAGUACGAGAGGACCGGGAUGGACGAACCGCUGGUGUGCCAGUUGUCCGCAGGGCACAGCUGGGUAGCUACGUUCGGAAGGGAUAACCGCUGAAAGCAUCUAAGUGGGAAGCCCGCCCCAAGAUAAGACUUCGAUUGAGACCCCUAUUAGACUAAUAGGUAGAUAGGCAGCAAGUGAAGGCUCCGUAAGGAGAAAGCUAAGCUGUACUAAUGGUCAAGAGCUUCACGCAC
RNAcentral lists this ribosomal RNA (244 nucleotides) under Chloroflexota bacterium. RNAcentral describes it as "Chloroflexi bacterium (bioreactor metagenome) partial 23S ribosomal RNA". It matches the Rfam family "Bacterial large subunit ribosomal RNA", at positions 2665 to 2925 of the family's 2925-position model. The record is from RNAcentral. Lineage: Bacteria; Bacillati; Chloroflexota.